RNAcentral lists this ribosomal RNA (405 nucleotides) under uncultured bacterium. RNAcentral's name for it is "bacterial SSU rRNA". It matches the Rfam family "Bacterial small subunit ribosomal RNA", at positions 355 to 776 of the family's 1533-position model. The record is from RNAcentral.
UGAGGAAUAUUGCACAAUGGGCGAAAGCCUGAUGCAGCAACGCCGCGUGCGGGACGAAGGCCUUCGGGUUGUAAACCGCUUUUCUGGGGGACGAGCAAGGACGGUACCCCAGGAAUAAGUCUCGGCUAACUACGUGCCAGCAGCCGCGGUAAAACGUAGGAGGCGAGCGUUAUCCGGAUUUACUGGGCGUAAAGCGCACGCAGGUGGCUGUGCAGGUCGGACAUGAAAGCUCCUGGCUUAACUGGGAGAGGUGGUUCGAAACCGCACGGCUUGAGGUUGGGAGAGGGACGUGGAAUUCCCGGUGUAGUGGUGGAAUGCGUAGAUAUCGGGAGGAACACCAGUGGCGCAAGCGGCGUCCUGGCCCACACCUGACGCUGAGGUGCGAAAGCGUGGGGAGCAAACAGG